RNAcentral lists this transfer RNA (91 nucleotides) under Kitasatospora sp. MAP12-15. RNAcentral describes it as "tRNA-Gln". It matches the Rfam family "tRNA". Rfam says of the family: Transfer RNA (tRNA) molecules are approximately 80 nucleotides in length. Their secondary structure includes four short double-helical elements and three loops (D, anti-codon, and T loops). Lineage: Bacteria; Bacillati; Actinomycetota; Actinomycetes; Kitasatosporales; Streptomycetaceae. The record is from RNAcentral. RNAcentral also lists the same sequence under 3 other names.
GGAUAGGUGCCCGGAGCGGUUAUCGGGGGCCGGGGCUUUGGCUCUGGUCGGGUCCUUGCGGCCCACGCAGGUUCGAAUCCUGCCCUCUCCG